RNAcentral lists this ribosomal RNA (497 nucleotides) under uncultured bacterium. RNAcentral describes it as "partial 16S ribosomal RNA". It matches the Rfam family "Bacterial small subunit ribosomal RNA", at positions 28 to 507 of the family's 1533-position model. The record is from RNAcentral.
GAUGAACGCUGGCGGCGUGCCUAAUACAUGCAAGUCGAGCGAACAGACGAGGAGCUUGCUCCUCUGACGUUAGCGGCGGACGGGUGAGUAACACGUGGAUAACCUACCUAUAAGACUGGGAUAACUUCGGGAAACCGGAGCUAAUACCGGAUAAUAUAUUGAACCGCAUGGUUCAAUAGUGAAAGACGGUUUUGCUGUCACUUAUAGAUGGAUCCGCGCCGCAUUAGCUAGUUGGUAAGGUAACGGCUUACCAAGGCAACGAUGCGUAGCCGACCUGAGAGGGUGAUCGGCCACACUGGAACUGAGACACGGUCAAGACUACUACGGGAGGCAGCAGUAGGGAAUCGUCCGCAAUGGGCGAAAGCCUGACGGAGCAACGCCGCGUGAGAGAUGAAGGUCUUCGGAUCGUAAAACUCGGUUAUUGGGGAAGAACAAAUGUGUAAGUAACUAUGCACGUCUUGACGGUACCUAGUCAGAAAGCCACGGCUAACUACGUG